Molecule: ribosomal RNA, 1372 nt
Filed under: uncultured beta proteobacterium
Lineage: Bacteria; Pseudomonadati; Pseudomonadota; Betaproteobacteria
Description: bacterial SSU rRNA
Rfam family: Bacterial small subunit ribosomal RNA
Source: RNAcentral
GAUUGAACGCUGGCGGCAUGCCUUACACAUGCAAGUCGAACGGCAGCAUGAUCUAGCUUGCUAGAUUGAUGGCGAGUGGCGAACGGGUGAGUAAUACAUCGGAACGUGCCCUGUAGUGGGGGAUAACUAGUCGAAAGAUUAGCUAAUACCGCAUACGACCUGAGGGUGAAAGUGGGGGACCGCAAGGCCUCAUGCUAUAGGAGCGGCCGAUGUCUGAUUAGCUAGUUGGUGAGGUAAAGGCUCACCAAGGCGACGAUCAGUAGCUGGUCUGAGAGGACGAUCAGCCACACUGGGACUGAGACACGGCCCAGACUCCUACGGGAGGCAGCAGUGGGGAAUUUUGGACAAUGGGGGCAACCCUGAUCCAGCAAUGCCGCGUGUGUGAAGAAGGCCUUCGGGUUGUAAAGCACUUUUGUCCGGAAAGAAAUCGCACUUACUAAUAUUAGGUGUGGAUGACGGUACCGGAAGAAUAAGGACCGGCUAACUACGUGCCAGCAGCCGCGGUAAUACGUAGGGUCCAAGCGUUAAUCGGAAUUACUGGGCGUAAAGCGUGCGCAGGCGGUUGUGCAAGACCGAUGUGAAAUCCCCGGGCUUAACCUGGGAAUUGCAUUGGUGACUGCACGGCUAGAGUGUGUCAGAGGGGGGUAGAAUUCCACGUGUAGCAGUGAAAUGCGUAGAGAUGUGGAGGAAUACCGAUGGCGAAGGCAGCCCCCUGGGAUAACACUGACGCUCAUGCACGAAAGCGUGGGGAGCAAACAGGAUUAGAUACCCUGGUAGUCCACGCCCUAAACGAUGUCAACUAGUUGUUGGGGAUUCAUUUCCUUAGUAACGUAGCUAACGCGUGAAGUUGACCGCCUGGGGAGUACGGUCGCAAGAUUAAAACUCAAAGGAAUUGACGGGGACCCGCACAAGCGGUGGAUGAUGUGGAUUAAUUCGAUGCAACGCGAAAAACCUUACCUACCCUUGACAUGCCACUAACGAAGCAGAGAUGCAUUAGGUGCUCGAAAGAGAAAGUGGACACAGGUGCUGCAUGGCUGUCGUCAGCUCGUGUCGUGAGAUGUUGGGUUAAGUCCCGCAACGAGCGCAACCCUUGUCUCUAGUUGCUACGAAAGGGCACUCUAGAGAGACUGCCGGUGACAAACCGGAGGAAGGUGGGGAUGACGUCAAGUCCUCAUGGCCCUUAUGGGUAGGGCUUCACACGUCAUACAAUGGUGCAUACAGAGGGUUGCCAAGCCGCGAGGUGGAGCUAAUCCCAGAAAAUGCAUCGUAGUCCGGAUCGUAGUCUGCAACUCGACUACGUGAAGCUGGAAUCGCUAGUAAUCGCGGAUCAGCAUGCCGCGGUGAAUACGUUCCUGGGUCUUGUACACACCGC